This 75-nucleotide transfer RNA is filed under the name Streptomyces reticuli. RNAcentral describes it as "tRNA-Ala". Lineage: Bacteria; Bacillati; Actinomycetota; Actinomycetes; Kitasatosporales; Streptomycetaceae. The record is from RNAcentral.
CGGCGGGUGGUGCGGCGUUCGUGGGCCUCGCGGGCCUUCUCGUACUCCUCGCGGUGCAGCUUCCCGCCCGGCGCC